GACGAACCAUCCAAACGUUAUUCGGAAUCACUGGGCUUAAAGGGUGCGUAGGCGGCGUGGUAAGUUGGGUGUGAAAUCCCUCAGCUCAACUGAGGAAUUGCGCCCAAUACUGCCAUGCUCGAGGAAGACAUAGGUGAGCGGAACUUAGGGUGGAGCGGUGAAAUGCGUUGAUAUCCUAAGGAACACCAGUAGCGAAAGCGGCUCACUGGGUCUUAUCUGACGCUGAUGCACGAAAGCUAGGGGAGCGAACGGG
RNAcentral lists this ribosomal RNA (253 nucleotides) under uncultured bacterium. Its description in RNAcentral is "partial 16S ribosomal RNA". It matches the Rfam family "Bacterial small subunit ribosomal RNA", at positions 524 to 776 of the family's 1533-position model. The record is from RNAcentral.